UACGGAAGGGGCAAGCGUUGUUCGGAAUUCCUGGGCGUAAAGCGUGCGCAGGCUGUUUUGUAAGCCAGAUGUGAAAUCCCCGGGCUUAACCUGGGAAUGGCAUUUGGGACUGCAAAGCUUGAGUGUGGCAGAGGGGACUGGAAUUCCUGGUGUAGCAGUGAAAUGCGUAGAGAUCAGGAGGAAUACCGAUGGCGAAGGCAGGUCCCUGGGCUGACACUGACGCUCAUGCACGAAAGCGUGGGGAGCAAACAGG
Molecule: ribosomal RNA, 253 nt
Filed under: uncultured bacterium
Lineage: Bacteria
Description: partial 16S ribosomal RNA
Rfam family: Bacterial small subunit ribosomal RNA
Source: RNAcentral